GCUUUUCCGCGUCCUCCACCUCGGGAACCCCUGGUGACUUUGUCGCAGCCUCCGUUACCCUGUGAUCUGCAGGUCCUGGGAGACGCACAGCUAAGAUGCCCGGACAUCCUGGAAGCUGGGAAAUGAGAUGGGGUUUCACCAUGUUGGCCAGGCUGAUCUCGAACUCCAGACCUCAGGUGAUCCGCCCGCCUCGGCCUCCCAAAAGUCCUGGGAUUACAGGCGUGAGCCACCGCGCCCGGCCUCUUAGGAACAUUUCUGAAUCUCACACUCGGAGGCUGUCAAAAGUUGGAUAAUUGACUCUCAUAUGUGGGCCUGGUCCACAGGUGAUAUGACUCUUCUUCAGCCUGCACCCUGCCAAAAGAGGAUUGUGAUGUAUCAUUGGACCCAGCACCUAGAUGAUGUAACUCUCAUCUUUUCCCUGGACCUUGCAUAUUUUGGGUGUGAUUGUGACACAUACCUCUGCUCAGAAUGUGAGCGAUUUGACUCUCCUGCCUGGGCCCAGUACACAGAUGGGAUUGUGACAUAUCGCUGGACCCAGUAUGUAGAUCGUGUGACCCUAUACUCUUGCCUUGGUGCU
This 577-nucleotide small RNA is filed under the name Pongo abelii (Sumatran orangutan). RNAcentral describes it as "processed transcript". The record is from RNAcentral. Lineage: Eukaryota; Metazoa; Chordata; Mammalia; Primates; Hominidae.